GUGUUUGCUGUGGGAGCACAUAUACUAAAAUUGGAAUAAUACAAAGAAGAUCAGCACAGCACCACGCAAGGAUGGCACAGUAGACAUAUGUAUCUCUUGGUU
Candoia aspera is the source of this 102-nucleotide small nuclear RNA. Lineage: Eukaryota; Metazoa; Chordata; Lepidosauria; Squamata; Candoiidae. The record is from RefSeq and is a predicted model, not a curated record.